GAGUGUGAACCACCUAGGGUUUGGCUAAUGGAUUGUUAAGCCUAAACUUAACUCGGGCUCUCCCAAGCCCAUACCAAUUCGCGACUUUAGGUUCAAGUUUUAACAUGCAAUUAAUUUUCAAUUAGGAGUCGCCACUAAUCUAUUUUUGGUGGGUCGAUUAGAAACCCAAGUAAAGUAAUGGGAGAUUUACUUCACUUCUACGAACCAGAGAUUAUGGGUACGGGGACUUGGUUACACUAGAGUUCUCUAAUGCCCUUUCGGUACCAUUCUUUUAAUUUCAAAAAUGUUUUCUGCAGGCAGCUUGAAUUGAUUUUAAUUUCUUAACAUGUGAGGUGACCAUGCAGGUACGCAAACCACCAAUUUAACACUUAAUAAAGGAAAUGAAUAAAUGAUGCAGAACUUACCUCAAAGCAACGUAAGCAUCUGCAAUGUUAAAUUAAAAUCCACAUCAACAACCCUAGAUAUGGUUUCUAAUUAACACGCAAUUUUUGUUUUGUUUUCACUUAAUUAAUGAGAAUCAUGCUUUAUGCAAUGCAUGCCACUAAUUUAACAUGAAAUGAUAUGACAUAGCAAAAUGACUUAGCUAUAUGACCUAAGCAAUAUGACAUAACCAAACAUGUAAUCUAUUCUAAGCAUGAGAUGAUUUAUUCUAAAUAACAUUUUUUGUAUUUUUUUAUGAGAUUCGAAAUUAAAGAAAUGCAACAUUUAAAUAUGCAAUCUAAAUUAAUCUAAUGACUUAAUUCUAAUGACGGGCAAUUUCUAAUUAAAUGCACCUAACAAAAUCACUAAAUGACGUGCAUUGUAUGAAACUAAUUCUAUAUGACGUGCACAUGAUUUUUAUUUUCCUAAUAAGCAUGCAAUCUAUUUAGGAGAAAUUAUCUAAAUCUAUAAUAUGCAAUCUUAGCAUGCAAUGACGUGCAAAGAAUGCCCUAAUUCUACAUGACAUAUGCAU
This 952-nucleotide long non-coding RNA is filed under the name Eucalyptus grandis. RNAcentral's name for it is "long non-coding RNA (EGRA_LNC006364)". The record is from RNAcentral. Lineage: Eukaryota; Viridiplantae; Streptophyta; Magnoliopsida; Myrtales; Myrtaceae.